GCAGAGAUUCGUUGGCAAUAUAUAAACUUGAAGUUCAGAAAUCCUUAUUCGCAGGCCUGUCUCCCAAAAGUCAAGAUGACAUUUUGUAUCAAAGAACUGUUGCUGGUGCUCCUUUUUGUGGGCCUUACUGCAGCAAUGAGAGGAGACCGCUCGGAUUUUUACCCGCCUCCUAUUCAUCGAUAAUAUAUUACCAUAGAUUACCAUGAAGAUGAUAUUCCUUGACGUCCAACUACUUUUAUAAAAAGAAAGAUACUUCUACAGAAUUUCUACACAACAGCUCAGCUGCUAAUGUUACUGAAUAAAAUGAUUUCUCCAACUCAUGUGAAAGGUA
Long non-coding RNA from Penaeus chinensis, 331 nucleotides. RefSeq lists it as uncharacterized. The record is from RefSeq and is a predicted model, not a curated record. NCBI's taxonomy places the organism in Eukaryota, Metazoa, Arthropoda, Malacostraca, Decapoda, Penaeidae. The transcript has 4 exons.